This 67-nucleotide transfer RNA is filed under the name Marmota monax (woodchuck). RNAcentral's name for it is "tRNA.Ala". Lineage: Eukaryota; Metazoa; Chordata; Mammalia; Rodentia; Sciuridae. The record is from RNAcentral.
GUUACAGGUCAGUGGUAGAGCAUUUACCCAGCAUGCAUAAGGCCCUGGGUUCAAUCCCCAGUACACA